Molecule: RNA transcript, 3004 nt
Organism: Dunckerocampus dactyliophorus (ringed pipefish)
Lineage: Eukaryota; Metazoa; Chordata; Actinopteri; Syngnathiformes; Syngnathidae
Gene name: dickkopf-related protein 2-like
Exons: 4
Source: RefSeq, a predicted model, not a curated record
AUCGUUGUUCCUCAUGACGCGUCACGUGAGCUCGCUGCUGUGCGUGCUAUCGCUGGCCGUAGUGGUGUGUGCGUGCGUCCGACUCAACUCCAUUCGAACGGUGAUCGUGCACGAGGUCCCAGGGGAGCUGACGGUGAGUGUUCGCGUGGCCGUGAAGUUUGUGAAUGUCUGUAGCGAGCUCACAUCAGUGUUGGUGUGUUUGCAUGCGCAGCUCCAUCAGUGCAUAAGCGACCUGGAGUGCAGUGAGGGAAGCUACUGCCACGCCCCCUCAAGAGGCCCUGCCCACUCCCGCUGCCAGACCUGCAGAAGGAGGACGAGGCGUUGCCAUCGAGAAGGGAUGUGUUGUCCUGGCAACCGUUGCAGCAACAGUGUGUGCGUCCCUGACGACAACACGAUGGCCAGCGAGCGAGUGGCCCCUGAACACCCCGACGUGACCGCCUGGAGGAAGAGAGACAGAACGGACACUAGGACAGUGUCCGGUAAAGGUCAAGUGGGCGACCCGUGCCUCGGCACUUCGGAAUGUUCUGACGGCCUGUGCUGCGCUCGCCACUUCUGGACGCGCAUCUGCAAGCCGGUUUUAUGGGAGGGUCAGGUGUGUUCCCGCCACGGAAGGAAGCGGCAGCGCGGCCUGGAGCUAUUCCAGCGCUGUCCCUGCGGAAGAGGACUCGCCUGCCGCACCAGAGACCACGUCCCCCCUCCCUCGUCCACGCUGCUGGCGGCUGCAAAUUCCAAGUUUGCGGCACAUCCCUCCUUUGCGCCGCAGACCAGACUGCACGUGUGCCACAGGAAGUGACUGUGGAUAGCGUCGCUAUGCACGUGAACGUUCACACGCUUUUCGCUGUGGUGUCCAAACGGGCAAAAAAAAUUCUAGUUAAAAUGUUGCUGUGAUGUCAUCAUACAAUCGCUUCCUGUUCAUUUCAAAUGUCUGUUCCUGAAAGACGGAAAUGAUGAUUAUCUUUGCCACCUUUAGCAGUGCUUACAAUGCUAAUGUAUACUGUAUCUGUAUUUCAUUUGACAAAUCACAAUGAUGAAAUUACUUUUAGGACACUAGCGCUUGGCAACGUUAGCUAGCUGGCUAGGCAACUUGUGGUAAUGAGCCGAUGUGAUGUUAACAAUAAACCAGCCAAGACCCAACUCAGCUCCAUGUUUGUAAAUCAGAAGUAGCAUCGAGAAAGCAACCCAAUCAAGUGAGGAAAGACUUUCUAAAGGUUUUCCUAAAACUUUAUCUUUAAAAAUUGGUUGGAGGUGCCAUCACAUGAUUAUACUAUACAGGCUAAGGCAAACGUGAAGACGCACGGUCGGCACAGUAGUUUGACCCUGAGACGUAGAAAAGACGAAAAUGUUGGUUUAUUUUCUCUGUUUAUCUGAUGGUGCAGUUGGUGAAGGACGGUGCCCUGCACAGUCCCUUCCCUUUCACCUGGAAGCCACAUCCCUUGUAGUUGGCCACUCCCCUGGCAUCCACCUGCAGGCUGGGCUGAAUGCGCUCCCAUACUCUCUGUUUGGACCGCAGCUCAUGGUCAGGCUCACCUGGCACAAGCAAACGUACGAGUCAGCCUUUCUACCUGUCACUCGUAUGUCUCUAACUAGACAUUACCGGGAAAGUCCAGGCAAGUGACUCUGUCUCCAGGGAUGGAGCCUGUGGGUGGGGCCAAUAGCUCAACAGUGUGGUCAGACUGAACGCACCACAGGAGUCGGGCCUGUGAAGCCACGCCCUUCAGUUUGCAGGCCUUGACAUUGCAUAGCAACACAGCAAGAGCGCCAUCGAGCUGAUGAAAGAAGAGAAGCACGGAAUGAAGCAAAGAUGACGAGAGCAACAGAAGAAAAACAAAACGUACAUCCUCUCUUGCUAGCUUGCUAACCACCGUGCGGGGGGCCUUCUCUCCCACGUCUACUUCCUGGACAGUCAGAUUCUCUGCCAGCGGGUGGCAGCCAACGCUUAGGAUCCGGCCAACUCGCAGGUCAAGGCGGGACACAUCAACUGGAAGAGCCGCCUCCAGGAGGGGAGUAGCAGUAGGAGCUGAAAAACAGCCACCUUCCUACCUGGGAUGAAACAUCUUGUCCGGGUCCAUGUCGCUCAGCUCUCAGCACAGUGCGUCUGCGGGCUGACAGAGUCGUUUGUCCAUCAGCUGUCCGAGUCUGUCCUCAGCUCCUGUCCACGCCUCUCUACUGGAGGUGAGAGGUCAAACUCCUCCUACAAUGACCAUGCAAAGUGUGCUGUCAGCAUGAUAUCGAGUGUUUGUUUUUCAAGUAUACAGUACAUAGUACAGUAAAUAUGUAAGGUACAUUGUCACGGUGGCGAACACGCAGCAAAAGCCAAACACAAAACGGAUCCAAAAACACAGAAACGCCAUAAAGCCCACACAAAUGCCUCAAUCACAUAAACACGGCAGGAUCAAAAACUAAUGCAAAAAAAUAAAAGACUGCAAAUGUAAGUUUACACACUGUAAAAUCCAAUAGCACUCUCAACUCAGACAAGUAAGUAGAACAAACUUAUUUAAAAUAAAAAAGCUCAUCUCACUUGAGUCUACCAAGUAAAACGUAAAAAUCCCUUGUGGUCAACUACUAUAAGUAUUAAGUUCUUGUUACUUGUUUUUUUCAAGGCAAUCCGUUUGCCUGCUUUUUUUUAAAGUAAGGUUAACUAAUGGAUUUUAAAAUGCAGGACAAAGCGGAGGUAAAGGUUACUCAGGCCUCCAGGGGCCCCAGACCUGUGGAACGUCCAUCUUUAAAGACAUAAGCGGCAUUCCCAGAAGAAAUUUGGCAGAGUAAAUUGUUUUUUCGUCAUACCUUUGUAUAACACUUGGCUGUGAAAAUGGGUUGCUCGACUGUGAAAGAUUCCAGCAUACCCCUAGUGAGGAAAAACGGCUUAGAAAAUGGAUGGAUGGAUGUUGUGCACAGAGAAUACACGCCCCCUCUGGCUGGCAAGAGAACUGCAGCUGUCUCCUCGUCAUUCACAAACACUAAAGAACACAACGCAGAUGUGCAAGUAAUUACUAUGGACCGUUAU